ACAGAGCCCGAUGCGGGAUUCAAACUCACGAACCGCGAGAUCGUGACCCCAGCGGAAGUUGGAUGCUUAACUGGCUGAACCGCCCAGGCGCCCCUGUUGUGUGGAAUGCUCUUAAACUUGAAGCGUGACGUUUAUGUUUCCGCUACAUUAUUUUUUUAUUGUGGCAAAAUGUGCAUAACAUAAAGCGGACCGUGUUAGCCGUUUUUGAGUGUGCACUUCGGUGGCAAGAAGUGAAUACGUUGUGGUGCAACCGUCACCUCCAGAAAUGUUCACCUUCCCGAACCGAAACUCUACCCCUUAAACGCUGACUCCCCACCCCUCCCGCCUGCAGCCCAUAGUGACCCCCGCUUUCUGUCUUUAUGAAUUCAACUACUCUGGACCUCAGAGGGCUCCCUUGUGUCUGGCUUGCCCCAGCACAGUGACUUCCAGAGCUCAUGCACGCGGUACGCGUCUCAAGGUGUCAUUCCCCUCAUGGCCGAAUAGCGUUUCAUUGUACGGACCACGCUGUGUUUAUCCGUCGUUCGGCGGUGGACAUUGGGGUGGUUUUCACGCUGGUAUUUUUAAGGCUCCGGAGUGAUACUCAUGACCCAUCAGGGAUGAAAAUCGAGGUCUUAGACCAGUGGUUCUUAAGGCUGGCUGAGCAUCCAAAUCACCUGGUAGCUGUUAAAAAAACAAGCCAAUGCCUGGUGAGCAUCACAGACCUGCAGACCAGCUGAAUUGGAUUCUCUGGAGGGGGACCCCGGAGUCUGCAAGAAUCUGCAGUUACUUCCAGAAGGCCAGGGUGUGAAGACUCAUUUCCAGGUCUCUGCUGCCCCCUGGUGGCAGCACCUGGGAUCGUCUGCAGCACUGGCUUGCCCGCCCGUAAGGAGUCCAAAAGAGCCAGUCCCCAGAGCCAUUCCUUGGGGGGUCUGGGGAACCUGCGGGGCUCUCCCUGCCUGUCCUCCCCCACUGUACUUCCUGGUUUCAGAUGAGCCUAUUAGGAGAAGGCACAGACAGGCGGAGGACUCCGCUUUGCUCCUUGCCAGCUAUCUGACCUUGAACAAGCCAUUUACUUGUUUCAGGGACGUGACCACUGCUCUCCUCCCGCCCCCCCACCCCCACCCCAUCAAGUCCCUGAGAUCACAGUUAAGUAUGUGUGUUAGCUUUGGGGAGAACCUAGAAUUUCUUAGCCUUGGCUCCGUUGACAAUUGGGUAGGAUUAUUCCUCAUGGUGGGGCCAUCCUGUGUAUCGUAGGGUAUUAAACAGCAUCCCUGGCCUCAACCCACUAGAUGCCAAUGAAACCCCCCAGUUUUGACGAUCAACACUGUUUCCAGACAUGAAGAAAUGUCCCCUGGGGGGAGGGUUGCCAGACAAAAUGCAGGUUUCCCAGUUAGAUUUGAAUUUCAGAGAAGCGACUCACAACUUUUUGGUAGAAUUCUGCCCUAAAGAUUGCAUUUUUACUUGCUAAAUCCAGAAACCCUGCGAAACCACCUCAGUUGAGAGCCGCUGCCCUGUGAGUUCCUGAUACUUGGGUAGGAGGCUAAGAUACCAGAUGGAGAAGAGGCAGCAGGAAUGCACUGGCCCAGCCUGGCCGGGGAGGGGUGCUGUCUGGGGGCAGGCCCGGCAAUGAUGACUGAGACUUCUGGUGACAUCAGCCCUUCUCCUUGGGAAGCUGGUUCAGUGGGGCUGUCAAUCAUAGUCACCAACCCUGCCCUGCCCUGCCAGACACUGGAGUCAAGCAAGGAGCAGCCACUGCACCCUGUUGCCCAGUCACUGGGUUGAUGAGUGAGACAACCCUGAAGAAGGGAGGCGUCUCAAGGAAGAAAAACAUGGGGGCGAUUCUGCCGCAACAUGAUGUCACAAGAUAAAGGAUAGGACCUCAUGGCCGCUCGAAAACUCAACAGCAGAGAGAAUGCCAGGACCCUAAAUGAACCCCUACUAACCCUAAGUGAGUCAGAGAAAGUCUCCACCGAUGACUCCCCAGGACCGUGCGGCCACCAACGGAGCCAGCCUGCUGGCCAAAAGAAGGUACAAAGCGCUUUCAGGCCUGCCCAGUGUCUCCUGGCGGAUAAGUGUGGCCCUUACUCCCCCAGAUGCCAUGAGGCCACGUGGGGGGUGACGGCCCCGAGCUGCUCGCGGUCUGGCUACCCGCAGAAAAACCCCAACUCCCAAGAAACGCCUGGGCCGGAAGCGGAAGCGCGGGUGCGUGCGUGCUGCAUUCUGGGAAGUGUAGUCCACAGAGGCCGGAAGAGUCCGUGAGAGCCGUGCGUUUGGGGGAAGGUAGUCCUCUAGUGGUCUGAGAGCCGGGGCGGGAGCCGGAGUGGUUCACCUAAACCCCACGCCGUGGCGGGGGUUAACAGUUUGGGGACUUAGAGUGAAUACGUAGAAUUUGUUUUUGUCUCUCCCAACCACCAACACCCACGGAAGCGGAGAAUAGGACCUAUCCACGCUUCAGUGGUGGCAAGCAGGCCUGAGUUAUUCCGCCCUCGAACGAGUAAAUCAGCUGCGUAACCUCCCGGAACCUUUGUUUCCGUAUCUGUAAAACGGGCAGAUUAAUCAUUCUCACUUGGCAUCCUUGAUAACUCAAUCAAGUAACUAGCAAGGUGCUUAACACACCUUCCUUGCUUGACAAACCCCUCUUCCCUUUGAACCUGAGCGUGCAGAGCAAAUGGAUGUGUUUUGUAACCAGGAGCAAAAAGUGUGCUUCAGCGGAGCACUUGGGGCGUUUUCUUUGCAAAGUAGGAGUUCCUGCAAAUUCCAGCCAAAACUCAUAGGGGGAAAUAUAAGGAAAUCUUGUCACGCAGAGACUCAGCAAGGACGUGUGACCUUACUAGCCAACACACAGUAAGAUCGUUGAAACUUUCAAAGUAAACAGUAGGCAGCAAAAAGAACGAGAAAGCUUCAUAUGCACUGAUGGGGGAAAAGCUUCAAGAAAUGGGAUCUUGCAAAGUGUACUCUUUGGCUCUCGGUGGACGUGGACGGUGUGAAGGUGGAGGUACUUACAAUAUUUGAAAAGGGGGAGUGGGGAGCAGAGAUGGACCGCCAAGGUCUGGAGAGGGUGAGGUGCCCAGGGGACACCCUAAAAGGAAAGGUUCCGGAGGCACCAGAUUUAAGGAGGCCCUCACUCUGGACGUCCCACUCGGGUCCCAGCCCUGUUGACUGCUUCUUGAUGACAGAACAGAAAAUCUGUGACAGCCCUUGCACUGGUGGGCUAGUCGUCACUGGUGGGUGACGGAUGUUUCUUCAGAGCUAGACUCAAGAUGGUGUUGGCAGACCGAGGCCGCAACGGGGGCCAAGGCAGCAGAGUCAGGGCUCGGCUCCCCAGGCAGUGCCCCAGACCCCUCGUGCUGUGCUGUGUUGCGUGUUGAAGGAUUAGACGACGCCAUGGAGGGCAGACGUCUGGACAGAUGGGACUCAACUGUUCUUGUCCUUGAGUUCUUUCUGACUCUCUCUCCGUGUGUGGAGCUGCGUGGCUAAGGGUUUUCUCUGCACGUACCCUGUGCCCAGCCUCCACCUGCUACCGGCCGCAGGUCUGGGCUCCUAGAGAAGGAGGUCCCCCGAGGGCCCCGGGGCCUCAGAGAUUGCCUUGACCUCACAGAAGCUGCAGCUUCUCAAUCUUUCCUGCACCCGGGCACUGCAUUUUGGCAUUCCGCAGCUCACGCCUCUUGAGUUCAUACCACAACCUUUAGAGGUAAGGACUGUGUUAUCCCCAUGCUGCAGAUGAGGAAACCAGGGCCCAGAGAGGGGUAGCAACCUGUCCCUGACCACAGAGCUAAACAGCAGCAGAGUAGGGAUUUGAACUCCCAACUCCAGAGGCACGUUCUUCACCAUGAUGCCCCGCUCCUCCAUUUUCAAGGACCACGAGCCUGCUGAGUGCUGGCCGCUAGGUUGGGGGUUCCCACUGUCCCCUGGACCUCGGGGGCCCCCAAGGCUGGAGGCCCGGAGGCCCUCUGAAUUCUAGAGUGUUUUCAGGACAUCACUGGGGGGGGGGGUUAAAGGAGGUUGCGGUCUUAACUUCCCGGGGUGGGAGGUUCCCAGAAGCCCAGGGCAAGCUCGGCCCCUUUUUCCUGAGGGGAGGGGGUGGUGUGAGUUGGGACACGUCCUCUUUUAAGGUUCUCUCUUGCUGCUUCUGACCACUUCCUCUUUUCCCUGGGGCGGAGGCAGGCUGUGGGUGCACUCAUGGCAGGCAUCCCAGCAGUGGCCCAGUGGCCGAGGAGGCCUCUCAGUCUCUCCUGGAAGGGCUUGCUUGGCUGGGUUGAGGGCACUUCUCCGCCUGGGCUUCCAUCCCCUCCCCACUGCCGCCAAGACCCUCCCCUGAGUCCCACCCAGAGAGCAGAGGGUGGGGGGCUCCCUGAGCUCUCCCUCAGCCAGACGGCUGCACACCCUCCAUUCAGGCUCCACCUGGGCUGAAUCUGCUUCCAGCAAUUUCCAUGGAGGACGUGGCCCAAGUUCAGGAACCCUGCCUGGACAGCCACACCCCUCAGGAUGCUCAGGGAGGUGAGGACCCCAGUUCUGGGUAGAAGGCCCAGCCUAGCACCUCAACCAUGAGUGCCCCAUGUGGGCAGGGGAGCUGUGGCCUGGGAAGAAGAUGGGCAUUGAGAAAUGUGGGUUCCAGGCCUGGCUCUGCCACUUGUUGGCUGCUGUGCUUACCGGGUUGCUUUUCUUGGGCCUCAGUUUCCUCAUCCAUGCACUGGACAUAAAUAACACUGCGAAAGGUUGAAGAAACAAAUGCAGUGCUACAUGUAUCGUGCUAAGCAGAGAGCCUGGUACACGUCCAGGAUUUAGUGUCUUGCGUGUUACUGGGCAGAAACUGCAGCUGCCCUGAGCCAUCCAGGAUGCACUCCCCCUCCCUCCAGCCCCUGCAGAGGAAGGCCGGUCACAGGUCACAGCUCCCCAACCCUGUUUCCUGCCUCCACCCUGUCUCCACUCCUUUCUGCCCCAGUAGCCCCCAGCUUCCCACUUGUAGCAGGUACAGCCCUCAAGUUCAGGUGGACAGGACCAUCACCUUUCCUCUGUAGCCUGUAGCCUCCCCACCCCAUCUAGCCAGGUUGGUAAAACAUCGACGUCAGUCAUCGUUGGGAUGUGCCCAGCCGAGUGUUGUGCCAAAGCCUUGGGUCAUCGUUUCUUUUUAUUGUGGUGAAAUACGCAGAACAUGAAUUGAGCCACCUGUAACGAUUUUUAAGGGUAUGGUUCCAUGGCAUGAAGUAUAUUCACACUGCUGUAGAAACGUCGCCACCACCCAUCUCCAGAACUUUCUCGUCUUCCCAAACUGAAACCGUGUCCCCGGUAAACCAUGGCUCCCCAUGCCUGCCCCCAGCUGCUGCAACCCUUGUUCCACUCUCUGUCUCUAGAAUCAGACUGCCCUCCCUGCCUCUUAUAAGUGGAAUCAUGCAGUAAUUGUCUCUGCGUGACUGGUUUGUUUUCGAUUAGCACGGCGUCCUCAAGGUUCACCCGUGUGGGGGCACGGGGCAGAAUCUCCAUCCUUUUUAUUUAUGUUUGAAUAAUAUUCCAGCCUAUGUCUAGACCCCAUUUUGCUUGUCCACGUAUCCAUCGGUGGACACUUGGGUUGCUUCCGCCUCCUGGCUGCUGUGAAUAAUGUUGCUCCGCACGGGGGUGUGCAAAUACCUGUUUGAGUCCCUGCUUUCGGUUCUUGGGGGCGCAUACCUAGAAGUGGAAUUUCUAGAUCAUAUGGUAAUUAUGUUUGAUUUUUUUUUUUUUUUUUGAGGAAAUGCCCAAUGCCCAAAGGCACUGGGGAACCCCUCUGGCCAUACUGUGUACAGGGAGAUGGGAAAUGAGGAGCAAGACAUCAUAGGUUCAAAUCCUGGUCCUGCCACUUCCCAAUGCUGUGACCUUGGGCGACUCACUUCAUUGUCUCAGCUGUGAUGAGGAAUGAGAGCAGCGCCUCCUGGGGCUGUGGUGGUGUUCAGAGCACAUACUUUGGGUGGCGCCUGGCGCACAGGGAGCCCUAGUGAUGUUAGCUGCGCCUCGUGGUGCAUCUGGACUCCUCCAGAGAUCUGAUCCUGCAACCUCACCGCUUCUGUGGUCACACGCCAGCCUGGCCCCUCCAUGGAACAUGCCUUUGGAGCCGGCCCUGCUUCCCCAGGACUCCCAACUUCUUUCCCCCUUUUGCAGGUCCCUGGGAAUCUCUCUUCAUUGAGGGAGUUUCUCUUUCCCUGUCCGUCUGUGGCUUAUGCUCUUGAAAACAAAAGCCAGAAAGCAAUGCCUCAGGCUAACCCUGCGAGAGCCUGAGCCAGGACCAGAGUGGAAACCAAGGACACUGACCAACAGGUCAGCAUGGGCACAGGCGAAGAGGACCCCUUUCUUCUUUCCUUUGACCUUGGUCAUGCCAUUCUCGAUGACUGGGUCCGGUCUAGGCCCCAUGUUUUGGGAAGGGUGAGGAGAGCUGGGAGGGUCACUGAGGACCGCCCACAGGCAUGAUUACAGGGACGGGGACAAGGCACUCUGGACUGAGAUGAAAGGAGCGGUGGUUUGGCACUUUCAACUCUAGGGGAGUCAGCCGGAGGGUUCCGGUCAGUGAGGGGUGGCUGUGGAGAUGAGAUUACCCCCCUUGCUGGGCCAGCAGCUAGGGCUCCCGGGCUGAGGCCGGCACCGUCCCACCUCUGGUUGAGGCCAAGCUGGUGUGCGGCUGUGUCUGGCCAGCUUGCCUGGUCUGCGUCCCCAGCCACCCCAACCCCCACCCUUGCUCCCGGGAAACUACUUCUGCUGACCUCGGAUGAUUCCUGGAGGAAGGUCAAGGCAAGACCUGGCAGGCUGAGGGCUUUGGUCCUGGGCGAUCACACCUGGAGGUUGGCCCAGCUGUGUCACCUCCACCUGUGACAAGAGGGGACAGAGAAGCCUCCGGGAUGCCCCCCACACCUGGGACAUUCUCUUGCUGUCCCAUCACCUUUCCUUUCCUAUUUUGUCUUCUCUGUUCCUUUCACCUCGUACCAACUGGUACGUGACUUGGAAAUUCACAAAGCAGUGCACUUCUCUUCACCGUUUAUCAAUACCCAGAACCUGGUGAGGAGCCAGCACUCAGUUUCUCUCAAGGGGGCUUUAGUGAAGGGCUUUUUUCCCUGGCCCUCUGGCAGAGCUCACUAAUGGGGACCCCUACUCCUGACAUGCUCCCUAGCAUUGUCAAAACCAGUCCUGUCUUCGCUAUUUGCAGACAUCCCCAAAGGGGCGCUGAUAUCUGUUCUGGGGCAUUAAAUAAAAUAUGCUGUGAAGGUUAA
This is a long non-coding RNA of Leopardus geoffroyi (Geoffroy's cat), 7211 nucleotides long. RefSeq lists it as uncharacterized. The record is from RefSeq and is a predicted model, not a curated record. The transcript has 5 exons. Lineage: Eukaryota; Metazoa; Chordata; Mammalia; Carnivora; Felidae.